GUUUUAAUAAUUUAAAUAAAAUAUUGGUCUUGUAAGUCAAAAAUGAAAAUAAUUUCUUAAAACU
Molecule: transfer RNA, 64 nt
Filed under: Lopaphus albopunctatus
Lineage: Eukaryota; Metazoa; Arthropoda; Insecta; Phasmatodea; Lonchodidae
Description: tRNA-Thr
Source: RNAcentral